UAAAAAGCUAUGAGAAAGACGAGUAAAUUUGUCAUGCCUAACAGUGAACUAGCGACAGUGUGAAGCUAGUGCCCUCUGACUUAUUGAAAAACACUUUUGAGCAUGCUCGCUGAAAUAAAAUAUUAGAGUAAGUUGAGACGUUUCCGGUACGUUACCUCGCCGGUAGAAUAUGCUAGUAUUCUAUAGAGUCGGUCUAUUUAUUAGGCAAUUUGGGUGGUACCGCGGAAAAAGCCUUUCGUCCCUUGC
Molecule: non-coding RNA, 246 nt
Filed under: Lactobacillus amylolyticus
Lineage: Bacteria; Bacillati; Bacillota; Bacilli; Lactobacillales; Lactobacillaceae
Description: T-box sequence
Rfam family: T-box leader
About the family: Uncharged tRNA acts as the effector for transcription antitermination of genes in the T-box leader family. T-boxes are found upstream of many aminoacyl-tRNA synthetase genes and some amino acid biosynthetic genes usually in Gram-positive bacteria.
Source: RNAcentral